Neofelis nebulosa (Clouded leopard) is the source of this 10174-nucleotide long non-coding RNA. RefSeq lists it as uncharacterized. The transcript has 2 exons. Lineage: Eukaryota; Metazoa; Chordata; Mammalia; Carnivora; Felidae. The record is from RefSeq and is a predicted model, not a curated record.
UCAGGGUGGAGAGCCAUGAAUCAUGAGCAAGAGGCGCUAAGAACACUGCGUUUCUGCUGCUUCCCCCACAAGUCCCAGACAGCCUCGUGGGAUCCAACUCUGACCCCAGUGGAGUUCUUCAUCCAUGACUGGUGCCUUCAGGAAUGUGUCUGUGGGCAGCAAGAAGAGUUUCAAAUGCAGUAGAAUGGGGCCACUGACUUUUUUCCUUUCUUUCCAGGCUGGAUGGCAAGAGGGCCCUGAAGGUUGGUGAACUGCACGAGUAGGUAGACACAGAGGCCCGAGGCCUGCUGCUGAGUCAUUUCAAUCUGUUUCAGAUUCGAUUUGCUCAGUGCAUGGAGAAGAACAAGGCUCCCAGUGGAGAUAUCAUGUAGCUAGAGCCUAGAAGUAUUUUCUUAAUAGAUGAAAUUUAGAAAGAAUUUGAAUCUUCUGUGCUGGGGAGGUAGGUCGCCGAGUGAAAUGGUUGGGAAAAGGAAACAUUUGGCUCCAGUGAUUCCAAAGGACAUUUCACUGAUCUAAAUAUUUGUCCAGCUGAAUUGCUAUGUCCACUGUCACCUGCCUGGAAUCAAUAUGUUCAAAUCAAACACAGUCAUCGGCAUCUGAGCAUGGAGAAAGAACUUCUUAAACCUGAGCUGGCAACUGGGAGGGCGAGAGAAGAACCAGACAAGGAGCUAGGACAGGGGAGCUCUUUGCCACCAAGUGAGGGACCUGCAACAAUGGUCAAUCCCCUAGAGUUCGCAUCUGGAUCCCGUGAUUCAAUGACAAGCUUCAGAUCGUUGAGGUGUGGUGAAUAACUUUGAUAGGACAGCGUAUGCAUUUUUUGAGAAAGACUUUAUCUGUUGGAACAAACACUUGCUCUUUUUGCUUUAGCCUUGAACCUCUCAGGAUGCAGACAGACCACUGUGCUCGGAAGGCACAGACAAAGCUGAGCAUACCGUUCUCCUCACUUUUUAAGGAGUUUUCUUAAAAUGCCUGUGUCAAGGCCUUUUGAUUCUGAGUCAUGUGAGUGUUCUCCAAGAAAAAAAAAAGAGAAGCACUUUUCGAUUUAACACUGUUUCUCACCAAAUGCAUGCAAGUUGGCACAACAGGUAGCCCAGAUGUUUACAGCCCCUGCGGUGGGUUCACAGAGGCACUAGCACCUUCCUAGGCCCUGCCUUACAUGCGGUGUGGAAUUAGGUGGUGAACCCAUGACAGUGCGGGAGAAUCAGGAAGGACCAGCGUCCCGCGGCUCCCAUCGGCGACAGAGGAGUCUGCACAUUUGUGUGGACAGCAGUGUGCCCAGGGGCCGGUUCCUGCCACUCCUGUCACCACAGCUAUGCAGCCAAGGACACGUUGGAUCUUGCGACCCACCCUCUGUGGACUGAAGGAAAAGCGCUUCUGGGCCCUAUACAUGCUCUUUAUGUGCUUGUCCGGAAAGGAGAAGGUAGCAAGACGCAGUGACCAUUUUUGUCAUCGUUCGUAAUGUGGUAGAGUGAUUGCAAAAAUGUCCCCAACUCUUCACCCUUCCACGAAGCCAUACCUCUGCGGCGUGACGUUGCAUUUCCUCCCACCAGUAAGUGUCUCCCUGCGCUUGUAAAUCUGGACUGGUCUUGUGACUCACUUUGACCAACAGAAUAUAGGGUCAGUGAUGGUGUGCCAGUUCUAAGCCUCAGCCUCAAGAGGCAUUGAGCACUUGUGCCCUUUCUCUUGGGCCCAUGAUUGACCUAUGAUUGUGCUCUUUCUCCUGGACCACGGGAGCAAGCUGCGCUGCUGGAUGAAAGAGACACUGCCCCGGUCCCCCUGUCACUCUCGCUGACAGCCAAACAACUGCCAGACUUCUGAGUGAGGCCUUCCUAGACCAAGCAGCCCUUGGCCCAUCUGCCAGCUGACCACAGAUCCGAGGAAGCCAAAUCAGGAUCAACCAAACCUGGCCCAAGUUAGCAGCACUGCCCGGCUGAGCCAUAGACCUGUGAGCAAAAGCAAAUGCCUGUCGUGGUUCCCUUCAUCUUUCCUGCCCAGAAUGUCCAUUCAUUCAUUCGACAAAUUCAUGUUGACGCUUAAAUUGUGCAAGGCACUGCUUCAGGCCCUAAGGAUAUAAAAUGGGAAAGUAGGACAAUGUACCUACUGUUAUGCAGCUUCUAUUCUAGUGGGAGGAGACAGACAGUAAAUAAAUAAAAACAUAGCAGGCAGCGAUAAGUGCUAGGAUUAAAAUUAAUCAGGAAAUACAUGGGGUGUGGUUGUGCUUUAUGUUGCGUGGUCAGGGAGGGCCUCUCUGGGGAAGUGAAGUUUAAGCUGCGACAUAAACGACAAGAAGAAGUAAAGUCAACUGAACGUGUGAAAGAGGAGCUCUCUAGAAAGAGGAUGUAGCUAGUGGGAGCCCUCAAGAAGGAACGGACUUGGAUGACUUUCUACAAGGAGUGGGAGAGUGGUGGGCAGAGGCCUGACCAUUGUGGGCUACUUGGUCAGAGGAAAGAGCUUGUAUUUUCUUCUCAGUGCAAUGAGGAGCCUGUGGAGAAUUUAAAGCAAAGGAGGAACAGGAUCUGACCUACAUGAGUCUGAACCAUCAGGAAGGAUGGGCCAACAAGAGUAGAAGGAGGGAGAUCAUUUAGGAGGCUCUUACGGUCACACAGGUAAGAGAUGUUGGAGGCCUGGAGCACCAUGGGGGCCACAGGGAUGGUGAGAGGUACACAGGCUCUGGGGAGGUCUCAAAGCAACCGUCAUCUACAGGUCUGCAGUUGGGCUGAAUGGAGGAGAAAAGCAAGGGGCCAAGGAGGAUUCCUAGGACUAGACUAGCCACAGAGGUGCCAUUUACUGAGACAGAGGACACAGGGGCAGGAGCAUAUUUAUGGGAGAAAAUCAAGAUUUCAGUGCUGGACAUUAAAAGUUUGAGAUGCUUCUUCAACAUCUAAGGGAAUGUGACUACAAAGCAAUACAUAACAGAGUAUAUGAGUGUGGGUUUCCAAAAUGGACCAGGGCUUAAGAAUAGGGGUAUACAUUUGAGAGACAUGACUCUAACGAUGGUAUUUAAGGCCACAGAACUGGAUGAGAUUCCCCAAAGUAAGGAUGUGGAUGGAGAAGAAGAGGAGUCAAGGUGCAGAUCCCGAGGCAAAGCAACACUUAGGGGUCCAGCCAAGGAUUCUAAGGAAGAAAAGCCAGUAGAGAAAAACCAAGAGGGUAUGAAAUUACAAAAGCCAAGAGAGUGUUAAGCAAUGAGGGUAUGACUUACAACUGCUACAGUCACUGGGCUUACUUCACAAGUACACCAUUAUCAGGAAACCAGCAUUAUACCCAGUCACCCACCUGUCAACCCCAGGAGCCAUUUCAGCAUUCACUCCUCAGAUAUAUCAGUGUUAUGGGUCGCACUGUGUCAAUAAAGUAAGUUAUGUUGGAGUCCUCACCCCGGUACCUUAGAAUGAGACCUAAUUUAGAGAUGGGGUCUUUACAGAGGUAAUCGAGUUACAAUGCGGCCAUCAAGGUGGGUCCUAAUUCAAUAUGGACGGCGUCUUAUAAAAAGAGGACAACAGAGAUACACCCAACGCCCAGGGAGACCGCCAACGUGAAAACGAAGGCCGAGAUCAGGUUGAUGGAGCAGAAGACAAGGAACACCAAAGAUGGUCAGCCAACCACCAGAAGCCGGGAGACAGGCAAACACCGACUUUUGCUCGCGGCCUCAUGGCCUUCGGAAGGGCGCGAUGUCUCAAUUUUAGACCUCUCGUCAGAAUUCUGAGAAAAUAAAUUUCUGUUAAGCCACCCAGUUUGCGACACUUUGGCUAGGCAGCUUCAGCAAACUAAUACAGGCCUUCAGCACGCUGUCACAGCAGGGGUCUCCUCUCCAGGUGGGCAAAACACAAGCUAGGUUUCUGGGACAGUGUUAGCCACUGUGGGAUCCCUCCGUGGGCUUUGUGCUCAGGGUUUGGAAGUGGAACUGUGUCGCCAGCCCUUGUAAGAACACCUGAAACACAGUCACACGAGGUGAGUAGUGUGAAGGCUACAAGCUUUAGGGUAAAAAUGAAGCAAUAUGCUGGAGGGAAGCAAAUCGGAGGGAGCAUGUCUAUUCAAUACGGAAGAAGCGAGGAAACCUGCCAUCAAAGAAAGCAUCAUUGUUCAUGUGGCGUUUGGCCCCCAGAAGUAACCCCAGAUGGGGGGGAAGGUCCCCCCCUCCACUCUGCCUGCCCAAAUGAGAGAUGGCUUGUUUGGACAAUGUACACACUUCGAAAGCCUCCUCUUUCACUCUGCCUAUUUCUGUUCCCACAAGGCCCACAGUUUCUCUUUUUAUCCUAAAUUUAUAAAAUGCCAAAGAAAAUAUGACUUUUUAGAAGAUUCAAAAUCUGGAAAGUACCCUUAAGGUAUUGCAGUUAAGCUGUUUUUGAUGAUAAGGAGCAGAUACCCACAAAUGCGUUCAACUCGGAUUGGGGGCCAGGGGACUGAAGUCAGGAAGCCCCAUGAGGUAGUAAGAGAGACAUUCUGUUGAAACCAAGAUCUUCUGUAAUAAAAAUAGAUCACACUUACACAGCAUGCCAGGCACCCUGAUAAAUGCUUUACGUGUGUUAGCUGAUUUCUUCCUCACAAUAGCCCUUUGAGGGAGAUACUGUACUUCUCCCCACUAUACAGAUGAGGAAGCCAAGGUAAAAACAAAACAAAACAAAACAAAGAGUAAGUGCCAAGGUUAAAAGCUAGCAAGCAAGGAGCCAGGAUUUGAACCAAAAUGGGCAGGCUUCAAGGAAUGUUCCUUUAAGUACUGGUUUAUGCUACUCCAUGGGAAUCCAAAUGGAAUGGAAGCACAUUAAGGAUUUUCCCUUUCUCCCUCCUUCCGUCUAACUUUCUCCCCACUUCCUUCUCUCUCUCCUUCUCUCCCUCCACCCUCCUCUUCCAGUCUUCUCUUUACACCUCCCUCUGACUCUCUUAGUAUUUCUCUUCCCCCUCUUUUGUGUGUAUACUCUGUUCUCCUUUGCCUACUAACUAGUUUAUUCUUUCUGUAUGCUCUGUGUUGCCUUUUUGUACCCAACAGCUUCUACUUAAUCCUCAUUCCUACUCCCUUGUACCUACAGCCUGGACAUGGCCCACUUUGGCUACUCCAAACUCACAUUGGUCACUACCUCACUGGGAUUUCUUAAGAAUCCCAGCGCACAAAGUCCAAUUGGAUCUGUCCAUGAGCUGCCCCCCAAUCCAAAUGGCUAUGGCUACCUACUGAGUCAUAGGGAACGAAAUAUGGCAGCCCACUCAGGGCAGCCACCAAGAAUGAUGCCUAGUAAGCAAAGUAUCACCUUCAUUUUUGACAGAAAAACUGUCUACUGAUCACGUCUGUCACAGAUAAGCCUGCCAGCCAAGUCCCCACUGCUCCCUGGCCCAUGCCCGAGCAUACGAUGCCCCUGGUAUAAUAAUGCUCAUGCAUGCUGUGCGUCUCUGUGCGAUGUGGGUAGCUGAUUGCAAGUGAAUAAAUGAGAAUCUUGUCUGGCUCCUUCGAGAGAAGACAAAUGGGCUGGAGUUGUGAGGCAUAUCGGAGAGAAGGGGAACCCAGGCAUCAGGAGGAGGCAAAAGACAGAGAACCGCAUCGUUCCGUGAAACUCAUCAGAGACCUGCCCCUUCGACAAAGCAAGGUCUCCAUCUGUCUUGGGAGUAAAAGCUGGACACCGGAAAAGAGAAGCUGCCUUGGUAAAAAGUCAAAGGGAACUCAGCCUAGGCCAGGGGUAAGCUCGUAUUUGAACUAGAAAGAGAAAUUCGAUUCUUCUGGGAGAAAAGGAAAAGAUGCUGAGCUACAAGGAGGCUGGGCUCACACAGCCAGAUUAAGACAUCUUGCCUAGAGCACAUGGCGUCUCUGUAUCAGACUUCUGUAGUCCCCAAACAGUGAAUCACUCUGUAAGAGACACCUGCACUCGCAGGCCUGGAUACAGAAAGGUAUGUAGAAAGCAAGUCUGCUAGCAAUUUCUUUUUUUUAAAGGUGACUCUAUUCCAAAUAAAGUAUUCAAAUGAUACAUUAUUAUGUUUCCACAUAAUCUCUUAACAGAUUUGAACAGCCUUAUUAUAGAGUUGGACAGGUGUUAGUAUCUUGCUUUAUCCCAGCCUUCCACACCUUGCAAGAUCAUUCAGCCUUCCUCCUAGAAAUUUUGCUCUCGUCUUUAAUACACUGAAUUACUGAAAAUAGGUUUUCCAUAUACUUGGAGAGCAAAAAUAUUUUUCUCAUUAAAAAUAGAAUCACAACAGGCACAUAGAUAUCUAAACAAAGGGUACCCCAAAUCUCAUAUCCGGACAGCGAUUCUAGUUUUCAGGACUGCCACAAACAUCUAAAAAACUCCCCUACCGCUAAAGCAGAAUUUAUGGAACUAGUAUAAUGUGUUGAUGAUUAACCUUGUCAACUUACUUCUCUAAUAACCCCUCCUCGUUUAUGCCCUGGUAGUAAAAGAUUCCCUUCUCCUAUGCAGGAAGUCCAGAAUGAAAAGUGGGUUGUUGCCAUGGCAACAGAACACAAGGCAGAGAACUCCAGAGAAGGGGGAGGUCUCUAUACCCAAGGCCACAGCCACAAGAAAGCCCCAGGCCCAGAGUGGUGGCAGCAAAGCGAAGCAACCUGCUAUGACUUCACACUGCCAGAUGGCCCGCUGUUGACACAGGGUUCCCCCCAACUGCUAAUUAUUUGCAUAACUCUGGAUCAUUCAUUCAAAGGAAAAUAAGGAAUUCACUUAAAUAUGCAUUGAUAUACUUACCAGUUUUUCUCUUUGAACGGCGUAGCAUUGGAAACUUUCUCCACAAACAUUUAACACAGUGCCUUACACAUAGAAGCUACUUAAGAGGGGUGUAUGUAACGAUUUACUGGGUCCCUUCUUGAGCCAGGUACUACUCAAGAUACAGAAAUGGAAAAGACAAGUUCCCUCUCCUCAGAGAGGGUAGACAUGCGCAUAUAAUCAAGAUCCAUAUAACCUUACAUGCCACCUUGUUGCUACAGCCUUGCCCAAGGUGGGGGGAGGGGUGGGGGGGGUUUCAGAAGACAGCCCUACCCUGGAGGAGAACACAAGAAAGGGGAGUGAGGCACAGAGGGUACGUGCCCCAUACCGCAUGAUCUGAGUCCUGAGGAUGAUUGAAGAGCUAAGGGUGCUCGUUGAUUGUUUGCUGUUUGUUUUUGUCUGCUCGCUCUGAGAUACCCAUGACAGACAGGAUGGCAAGAGCGAAGGCCCAAAGGUAAACAGUAGCACGGUCCAUGUCAAGAAAGCAUAGUCAGUUUGCCGUCCGUGAACAGGAAUGUGCAGGGCAGGGAAUGGCAGGAAGUGAAGCUGGACACACAGGUCACCAAGGCGUUGACGGAGCGUGGAAGUCCCUCCCCUGGGAGAGCCUGGACUGUGGUUUCUGGACAAUGGAGGCACCGACUUGGCGAAGCCUGCUUUCUGGAAGGACUCUUUCGCAGCAGUAUGGGGAACUGCUUAGCAGGUAACACCGUACUCAAGAGGGCCAGCUCCAACGGGGCUUCAGACAUCCAGGCAAGAGACCAUAAAAGCCUGAGUCAGAGUAGGGUAUUAGGGAUGGAAAGGGUGAGGAUAGAUUCUAGAAACAUUGAGUAAGUAAAAUCACAUAGCUCCUCAGCAUGACUCACCUCCCCAAAUCCCUAAGACCCAAAUCUCCAUCCUCCUCUCCAUACCAAUUCGAACACUAAGAAAAACCUGGGCAAAGAAGGAUAAGAUCGGCAGUGACUGGUGCUCCUUCCAUAGUACAUGGCUUAUACAUUCAUUGAACCACUUAAAAUGAUCACAGUCACUUUCAACCCUAUUGGCUGAGUUGAUGGACAGGCAAAAACAUUUCUUUCGUGGAUUUAUUCCAGUACACUGUUUCCAAUCAUUAUGGGUCAUGGGGGUCAGAAACAGAAAGGAGAUUUUUUAGAAAGAUUCUGAACAAUGUAUCAGUGCCAACUCAGAGCGACAGACGAAACAAAACAGAUAAUGUUUUGCGCUGAGAUAGGAUCAUUCCUUUGAGGUUCUCCUGGGUUCACAGUGAAUAUUAAUUUUUAGAGCAUUCCUAUAAAGUAGACAAGUGGCAAAGGGGUUUGGCUCCAUUUCAGUGGGGGAAAAAGGAAAAGAUGCUAGUGCCUGGAGACAUGAACUGAUUUAUCAGAGGCGAGGCAGGCUGGAGGCAAGCCUAAGGACAGGGUUUGGGCUUCUCGGUUUCCUCUCCUGGUUUUAUCAUUUCAACCUGUCCUAAUGAGGUUAUUGUACUUAACAUAGCCUGUCCAGAUCUCAUCUGAAAAGAGGAAGCAAAGACCUGGGUAAUUUUCCAGAUAAUUUCUUUAAGAGGAAAAAAAGCAACCUCUCUUCCCUCCAAAUUGUUUAUAAUUGAUGCAAUACAGGAAGUCUCACUGCUUUUUAAUGAGUUCCCAAACUCAAAUUGCGCCAUUUAAUUUUUUUUUUUUUUUGGAAAUCUACAUUUGCCUGAAAUAUCUCAGUAAUUCGAGUAGAAAGGGAGGUUUUGCCUUAAUUAUGAAAAUGACCUCAACUUGCUUCUUGGUGCAGCAAUGGAACGAGAGGGCAGUGCACAGUAUCCUGGCUGUAGGAAGCAAGCCCUUCCCCUGUGGCCUAGGAUGGACCCCUUUUGGUGCUGAAAUGGGGGCACAGGGAAACCCCGCGCUGGGGCUCGACACUGUGAUCCUUUCCAUUCUCCACUAUAAAUUCGUAGGUCAUUUUGCAUGUGCCAGGACUCCAGUGGACACUGCCUGCUUUGCUGAGCUUAUACACAGCUGAAAAUGUAAGACUUAGGUUAGCGACUGGAAAAAAAAUGACUCAGUUCUUACUAAAAGGUCAGCCUUGGAUUCAGGUUUUAUAUACAUAUUGCAUUGACGGGUAAACCGAGCUAGCAGUGAUGAGGCGAGGAAAGGAUUGCAUUCCUUUUUUUUUUUUUUUUUUUAACCAAAGCACCCAUCCCCACUCUUUGUCUCCAGUCCCGUUAUCUGUCAUGCUGCUUCUGUCCCGCCUCAUUCAGCCACUCUCCCCUGGCUCUUUUUUUCUUGCAUCUCUCGAGAUAGAGUCACCUGCUUCUGGGCAAAAAGCCUGCCUUCCAGUGUGGUCCACGGGCAGCAUUUGAGGUAAGGAGAAGGAGCCCUAUCCUGAAGUAGCAGCUUUGGAGGUAUACUGUGAGUCUAUAGGAGGACCCCAAGAGUUUGCCUUUUCACCGGACAAAAGCUUCAGAUCUUGACUAUGAACAGAGGCAGCUCCUCUGGGCUGGUGUGCCGGCUGCCCUGCUGCUUCCAGCAGUCAGAAGAGCCACGGACCAAAGACGCUCGCCAGGCCACCCUGAUGCCCAGCUGGAGUGCGUCCAGGUGUUCUCCACACGCUGCUCCCCUCCACCCUGCCAGGCUCCCUGCGCACACACCCUGCAUGGAAUUCGUGCUCUUCUGCAGGCACCCACCUCCCAAAAGGGGAGCCCCUUUCUGAGAUUGAAUCGCUUCAUUUUUACAUCCUAAACAAUUACACAUGAUUUCCCAAAACGUGAGAGGAGUCAGCAGACUCUCUCCAAAUACUGGGCUGCAAGGCGGUAAAGGCAGGGGAAGGGGGGGUGGUGUGUAGAGGAGGGAGGAGGGAGACGCAUGGGGGAAGGAAGGCAGAGGCUCUGGAGUCUUUGUUUCUUUCCCAUCUGGCUGGGCGCCAGGGGCGGAAUCCAAGAGACCUAUCCUUUGUCCACUGAUCUGACGGCCGUCCCACGUUCCCACUCGGCAGAAUCCAAGCGGAAUGCAUUCACACAUUCACAUCCAUUGCUCAAAAGCUUACUGAGAAAUCUAAGUCUUCCUGUGCCUAGUGGAAGCAAGAUUUCUGUGCAGCGUAUCUAUUUUCAAGGUCACAGUAAAAUGGAGAGUUCCACUCGCUCCGGUAGAGUCUGUCAUUGUUAGCACUCUCCUAGUCCUCCAAGGAGACCAAAAGCAUGUGCUCUGUGGCUUUAAGGGAAGAGAGAAUCCUUCCCAGGCUCCCUCUAUCAAGUCUGGUUAGGUUUUAGCAUGUAAAGUUCCAGGCCAUAAAUAAUUCAAAAGGCAUGAAGAAGAUUUUCUUCAUUCUCCAUCUAUCCCUGCACACAACACCCCCCUCCCCUUUCUGGCUUAUAACAAAUGCUAAUUUAAUCAACUGGCAGUAAAUUGCACUGGUUGCUGACUCAUGCCAGACACAGCCCCUGUGGACUUGACAGAGCUCUGUCAUCCCAUUUGGAAAUGAACAGUAAAGAAGUGCGGUCCUGA